Long non-coding RNA from Pollicipes pollicipes, 627 nucleotides. RefSeq lists it as uncharacterized. The record is from RefSeq and is a predicted model, not a curated record. NCBI's taxonomy places the organism in Eukaryota, Metazoa, Arthropoda, Thecostraca, Pollicipedomorpha, Pollicipedidae. The transcript has 3 exons.
GCUAGAUUGACAGACGUUAUGUUUUGAUGUUUUCAGAUACGCAAGGCAUUGCCCGAAUGUGUUACGGAGAUUUCCAUAUGAACACAUUAUUCCCGUUUUUAUGUGCUUAAGUUGACAACAGAUUGGGAGGUUUGAUCAUGCAUUAACCCUUGCAUUCAUCCCUGAAAUACAAUGGAAACGAUUUUCUUUGGAAGUGGGGUGUCUAAAAGUGUAGCCAAGGGGGUCAUCAUCUUAUGCACCUUGGCAAUAAGUUCACUGAUAAUUAGCCAUACAAUAUCACAGUACAUCCAAGAUGAUGAGAAUGCUUCACACAUGCCUAACAUUAUAUUGAUUGUUACUGAUGAUCAAGACAUGCUACUUCAGGGCAUGGAACCCAUGACAUUCACCAAGACAUUCUUUGAAACUGGUGGGAUCACAUUCAAAAAUGGUUUCGUCUCCACGCCGGUGUGCUGUCCGAGCCGAGCCUCUAUGCUGACCGGCCGGUACCAGCACAACACGCGCGUCAUCAACAACACCCUGCGGGGCAACUGCUGCGGCAGCGACUGGCGGCACGGCGCGGAGCGGCGCACGGUCGCCGCUCACCUCCGCCGGCGCGGCUACCACACAUUUUACGCUGGCAAAUACCUC